Molecule: long non-coding RNA, 984 nt
Filed under: Homo sapiens (human)
Lineage: Eukaryota; Metazoa; Chordata; Mammalia; Primates; Hominidae
Description: PREDICTED lncRNA (TCONS_00071433)
Source: RNAcentral
UUUAGAGACAAGGUUUCCCUACGUUGCCCAGACUGGUCUUGAACUCCUAGCCUCAAGCAGUCCUUCUGCCUCAGCCUCCCAAUGUGCUGGGAUUACAGGCAUGAGCCACUGCACUUGACCAAGGGACUAAGCCAGUGGAUCACAAACAUCCUGGAGAGCAGUGACUCUGUGAUUCCAUCACAAGAAUAUGAAGGACUGAGAAGAUCUCCAGCUCUGCCCAUUGCACCUUCCCAUUGAGAAGCAGCAUGGCACCCUGGUGGCAGGGGCUGAUACUCAGCCGGGCCAGGGUGCUCUCCUGUUAACCAUAACCAAGCUCACAGGACAUGGGAUGAGCCCACUGUGUGACACAGGGAGCGGGACACAGUCUGUUAAGUCUUGCACAGCCAUGCUCUGCCACGCAGGCAGGCCUUUCCUUGGCCUCCCUCUCCCUGUUCGUGCUCAUGUGAACAUCCACCUACGUGGAUAGACUGGGCUUUGGUUCAUUAUUGCUCUGUGAAUUCCUCGAACUUCCGCAUCUGCCCAACCUCCCCCACCCCAUUGUUUUCAUUGUGUUUCACCAAAUGGAAAUUCUAGAGUAAGCAUGUGAGUCCUCUCCCAAACUUGUUCACUGUUGAGAGUGCUAAAAUGCUAACCCCAGAUGCUAACUGAGGGGUAGGGUUACCUUAUCUUUAGAGCACUGCGAAUUGUAUGUUAAGUGGAACUUAAUGAAAAAAUAGUUAAUUGACCAACAUGAAUAUCCCCUGAACAGAAUCUCCCCUGAACAGAAUCCUACAAUGAAACUAAGGGAGAUAAAUAAAGCUGUUUACCUGAAAGCUCUCUCUAAUCAAGAUCCUUUGAAAUUUAUAAAACAUGGUCAAUAUUUGCACUGGACUUUGUAAAAAUAAAGCUUGAUAAGAGAAGAGUUUGAAGUGAAAUGCUGCCACUUUCUAUGCAAUAUUUGAUUUAAAUUUAAUUCCUAGAAACCUCAGAUGAAUGUGGUUCAUG